RNAcentral lists this ribosomal RNA (1000 nucleotides) under Pediococcus sp. RNAcentral describes it as "bacterial SSU rRNA". It matches the Rfam family "Bacterial small subunit ribosomal RNA", at positions 62 to 1032 of the family's 1533-position model. The record is from RNAcentral. Lineage: Bacteria; Bacillati; Bacillota; Bacilli; Lactobacillales; Lactobacillaceae.
UUGAUUAUGACGUACUUGUACUGAUUGAGAUUUUAACACGAAGUGAGUGGCGAACGGGUGAGUAACACGUGGGUAACCUGCCCAGAAGUAGGGGAUAACACCUGGAAACAGAUGCUAAUACCGUAUAACAGAGAAAACCGCAUGGUUUUCUUUUAAAAGAUGGCUCUGCUAUCACUUCUGGAUGGACCCGCGGCGUAUUAGCUAGUUGGUGAGGCAAAGGCUCACCAAGGCAGUGAUACGUAGCCGACCUGAGAGGGUAAUCGGCCACAUUGGGACUGAGACACGGCCCAGACUCCUACGGGAGGCAGCAGUAGGGAAUCUUCCACAAUGGACGCAAGUCUGAUGGAGCAACGCCGCGUGAGUGAAGAAGGGUUUCGGCUCGUAAAGCUCUGUUGUUAAAGAAGAACGUGGGUAAGAGUAACUGUUUACCCAGUGACGGUAUUUAACCAGAAAGCCACGGCUAACUACGUGCCAGCAGCCGCGGUAAUACGUAGGUGGCAAGCGUUAUCCGGAUUUAUUGGGCGUAAAGCGAGCGCAGGCGGUCUUUUAAGUCUAAUGUGAAAGCCUUCGGCUCAACCGAAGAAGUGCAUUGGAAACUGGGAGACUUGAGUGCAGAAGAGGACAGUGGAACUCCAUGUGUAGCGGUGAAAUGCGUAGAUAUAUGGAAGAACACCAGUGGCGAAGGCGGCUGUCUGGUCUGCAACUGACGCUGAGGCUCGAAAGCAUGGGUAGCGAACAGGAUUAGAUACCCUGGUAGUCCAUGCCGUAAACGAUGAUUACUAAGUGUUGGAGGGUUUCCGCCCUUCAGUGCUGCAGCUAACGCAUUAAGUAAUCCGCCUGGGGGAGUACGACCGCGAGGUUGAAACUCAAAAGAAUUGACGGGGGCCCGCACAAGCGGGGGGAGCAUGUGGUUUAAUUCGAAGCUACGCGAAGAACCUUACCAGGUCUUGACAUCUUCUGACAGUCUAAGAAGAUAAGAGGUUCCCUUCGGGGACAGAAU